RNAcentral lists this unclassified non-coding RNA (200 nucleotides) under Coniothyrium sp. Its description in RNAcentral is "partial internal transcribed spacer 2". Lineage: Eukaryota; Fungi; Ascomycota; Dothideomycetes; Pleosporales; Coniothyriaceae. The record is from RNAcentral.
UUAAGUUCAGCGGGUAUCCCUACCUGAUCCGAGGUCAAGAGCAAAUGUAUAGGCUUAAUGGAUGCCAACAUUCAUGACUAGAAGCGCAAAAUGUGCUGCGCUCCAAGGCCAAUAUGCCGGCUGCCAAUCGCUUUAAGGCGAGUCCACGCGCAACGCGGGACAAACGCCCAACACCAAGCAAAGCUUGAGGGUACAAAUGA